Salvelinus namaycush (lake trout) is the source of this 304-nucleotide long non-coding RNA. RefSeq lists it as uncharacterized. The record is from RefSeq and is a predicted model, not a curated record. NCBI's taxonomy places the organism in Eukaryota, Metazoa, Chordata, Actinopteri, Salmoniformes, Salmonidae. The transcript has 3 exons.
UAAGCCCCACCAAAGAAGAAAACGAAUCAACUCAGGGCUGUCAAAACCCAGAAGGGAAAUGUAAGGGGCCUUGGAAGAAGUCCCCAGCCUCUGUCUCCUGCGUUCCCAAACUCUUCCACUUGACUGGCUUCUUGGAACAGAACAGCUUUAAAGAGCCAUGGUGGCCUAAGGAGAUCGAACAAGCCCAUAGAAGGAUGAUACCUAAUUAACAGGGUUGAAUGGCCACGGUGACACUGUGAAUACAACUGUUUAACUGAUUGCAUCAUCACCAUUCUGAGUGCUGCCCUCUUCCCAGACAGAGAGA